AAAGUGGAGCAAUCCAUGAGUACAGUGGCGUACGGGUGAGUAACACGUGGGUAAUCUGCCUUUUAGUGUGGAAUAACCCUGGGAAACCGGGGCUAAUAACGCAUAAUCUCGCGAGAGGAAAGUCGCAAGACGCUGAAAGAGGAGCCCGCGGCCGAUUAGCUAGUUGGCAGGGUAAAAGCCUACCAAGGCAGAGAUCGGUAGCCGGCCUGAGAGGGCACACGGCCACACUGGCACUGAAACACGGGCCAGACUCCUACGGGAGGCAGCAGUGGGGAAUCUUGCACAAUGGGGGAAACCCUGAUGCAGCGACGCCGCGUGAGCGAUGAAGCCCUUCGGGGUGUAAAGCUCUUUCGGCAGGGAAGAUGAUGACGGUACCUGCAGAAGCAGCUGCGGCUAACUACGUGCCAGCAGCCGCGGUAAUACGUAGGCAGCGAGCGUUGUUCGGAGUUACUGGGCGUAAAGGGUGUGUAGGCGGUUGUUUAAGUUUGGUGUGAAAUCUCCCGGCUCAACUGGGAGGGUGCGCCGAAUACUGAAUGACUCGAGUGCGGGAGAGGAAAGUGGAAUUCCUGGUGUAGCGGUGAAAUGCGUAGAUAUCAGGAGGAACACCGGUGGUGUAGACGGCUUUCUGGACCGUAACUGACGCUGAGACACGAAAGCGUGGGUAGCAAACAGGAUUAGAUACCCUGGUAGUCCACGCCCUAAACGAUGCAUAUUUGGUGUGGGCAGGUUCAUUCUGUCCGUGCCGGAGCUAACGCGUUUAAAUAUGCCGCCUGGGGAGUACAGUCCGCAGGGUUAAAC
RNAcentral lists this ribosomal RNA (798 nucleotides) under uncultured Acidobacteriota bacterium. RNAcentral describes it as "bacterial SSU rRNA". It matches the Rfam family "Bacterial small subunit ribosomal RNA", at positions 71 to 900 of the family's 1533-position model. Lineage: Bacteria; Pseudomonadati; Acidobacteriota. The record is from RNAcentral.